GUCAGCUUCCAUUCAGGGGUGGGAGUGGGGGGCACGGUGGAGACUUCUGGCAUCUUUCAGGGGGUACCGUGAGUACAUGGUCUGGAAGGCACAGGGGACCAGGCACCAGUGAGACCAUGGCAGUCAGCAUUGCUUUAAUGUGCAAACCUGAAGUAUGAAAACACAAGUUGACAGGCAGAUCUGUGUGGGGGUUCCCUCCAGGGCUGUCCCCAACAGGAUACUGCCCUUGGUGUGUGCGGAUGACAUUUCCCUGAGCUGAGUUUUGACAGAGAAACCUGGCUGGGCCCCCGUCCCUCACAGCUCCAGGGAGGCCAGCUGGGGGAAGCCAAGACCCCUGAAAUCAGAACACAGUGUAAACUGAACAGGCGCUGCUGGAACCUGGACGGGGCCUCCUGAGGCCGAGGGCAGUGGAGGGCCCACGCCACCUUCAGAAGCAGACCGCUUGGGGGGGCGGGUCACCGGCAGCUCCAGGGCUGGUCAGACGUGUGCAGGACAGUGGAUGACAUGCAGGGAGGCAUGAACACAGGAGAUGUCAGAUCGGCCGUGUUUUCUCAUCCUUGAUUUAUGGGCUGGUGGGAGGGAGGCAGCCCUGGGAGGGCCAAGGUGAAGGGACGGGGUUGGGUGUCCAGGCCAAAAGACCCUGCUGGCUCUCUGGGGUGGCCGCCACCUCAUACCCCUGUGGGAACCGCGCUGGUGGCCUGCCUGGCCCCUGAGGGUCCCCCUGGAACCUGCACUGGACACAGGCCAGUGAAGACUAAUGGGGGGUAACAGUUUUUAUUGGUCACGUGCUAUGUGCCAGUUCUGGGGGUGCUGGCAGGGGUGGCCCCACCAAAUGGGUGACUCAGUGGACAAGUCGACACAAACGAGCCGGACAGUUUCAGGAGUGGGCAGGACCUAGAGGGGCGCAGGCCGCUGGGGCUGAGCAGGGGUGGGGGCCGCUCCCCAGAGAGCUGCCAGGGAGGGCCUGGGCCUCUUCUGAACUCGCUGUGGAGGCUCUAGAGGGGCUUAGGUGAAGGGGGGAGGCGGUGGCCUUACUAACCCCAUCCUUGGCCCUGGAGGGAGGGGACCACCAAGUUUGCCACCCUGGAGACGAGCCCCAAGAGAAAAGGCCAGAAACGGCCACAAGAGACUGAGUGUGCCUGAGACCAGGACAGGAGGGGCCAGCCUCCCGUCCUGCCUCCGGUGGCUGACAGGCCUUGUUCGAGCUGGCCUCCCGUGGGCCCUGGCGGGGCCACGCCCAAUCAGCUGGUGUCUUGGGGGCACUAGCUGCAGGCACCGGAGCCAGGCCUGGGAGAGCGGGGCUCACGGCGGAUUUGGAGCACAGAGUGCCGCCAUGGAGGGUCUGCAGUGGAGGAAGGCCUCUCGCCUGGACGCUGCCAGCCAUCCGCAGAGGCCCACCCAGGGCUCUGCCCCAAGAGUGGCCACAGUCCCAACCCAAGGAGCUGGGCCUGUCCCUUCACCCACACCGUUCAGCCCAGCCUUGGCCAAAUGCAAAGUCACUUUUCACAUGGUUGCAAGACUCUCCGAGCCAAUCUUUCACACCGCUGCACUUCAGGACACGAGCACGAGUAUUUUCCUACUGUCUGUCUUUUGAGCUGUCCCUCUUUACCCAAACAUGAGUCCCAGUGUGAAAAUGAGUCAACCGUGUACCUGGGUGGGAGGUGCAGGGUGGGGGCAGUC
Molecule: long non-coding RNA, 1680 nt
Filed under: Equus asinus (donkey)
Lineage: Eukaryota; Metazoa; Chordata; Mammalia; Perissodactyla; Equidae
Description: lncRNA (ENSEASG00005029704.1)
Source: RNAcentral